Pseudoliparis swirei is the source of this 3328-nucleotide long non-coding RNA. RefSeq lists it as uncharacterized. Lineage: Eukaryota; Metazoa; Chordata; Actinopteri; Perciformes; Liparidae. The record is from RefSeq and is a predicted model, not a curated record. The transcript is spliced from 3 exons.
CCUGUUCCACCUGUUGGGACUUCUUUUGUGUGUGUGUGUGUGUGUGUGUGUGAGUGUGAGUGUGGGUGUGCACGUUUUCAUGGCAGUGCGCUAAUGUUCAUCACAAACUCCAGAAUGAAAGUAAAGAAAUGUGGGAUUUGAGGGAUCACGUGUCUUGGAUGUACAUCGUUGCACACAUUGAGCAGCUACAUGCGGUGACGAUAAAGAAAAGUCAAAGCACAGAUGAUCAAGAGAGACUCUCGGGGGAGGAAUCAAGGGCAGGACUCCUUUUAUAACUCAGAGGCAGCCAAACUCUACGAGAGCUAUCCAAUCAAGGCUUAGAUCUGGAGAAACAAGACCACGACACAACAUUUAGCCUCCUUUUCACUGGAGGAAACAACAACACCGCAAACUGCAACCAACAUCUGGCUGUAUUGGUCUUUAAGGGGAUGGUCACAAUUUUUUUUUCUUUACUCUACCAGGGUUGGCUUGCACCAUCAUUUUGGAAAAGCACUGUUCACAUAUUACAUUACAUUACAUGUCAUUUGGCUGACGCUUUUAUCCAAAGCGACUUACAGUAGUUACAUUCAUUCAAUGUAGACGCAGCUACAGGGAGCAAUUCAGGGAUACGUGUCUUGCUCAAGAACACAUCGACUAGGGCGGGGAUUGAACCUCCAACCACCUGAUGGAAAGACGGACCUGCUACCCACUCACCAAUAGUCGCCCAUACCCACUGAAACACCAAAAAUGAGAUUUAGAUCCACUGCUGCCUUGAAAAAAAGACCUGUUUUGGGUUGGGAGAGAAACUUUAGCCUGGCCAGAAGGUUAAAGUGGAGAGAAAAAGAUGUACUAAUUCAACUGGAUGAUUUACUAUGUCCUGAUGCAGACAUGCAUGCAUGUCAGACGGAAAGAAGAAACCUAUCAGGAGGUUACAGACCGCACAAAGGUGGCAAGUGAAACCAUUGGCAUGUAAUGACAUUCAAACUAGUUGCAACCAGUCGUAACCAGUUGUAUUUCUGGAACAUCGACUUUUCACAAAUUCAAAUGCUUUCCCUUUGAAUCCGACGAGACUCGGUUUUACUUCACCAUUUUUUGAUGGCGUAACCUUUUGUAACAAUGAAAACGUUAACAUGGACGAAUAUGCUCUCUGUAAUGCCGAUAUAUUGAAAAGGUUUCCAUGAACUGCUUUGAUUGCAAGAAAUAGUCCCCAUCAAAUCUGGUAAGAGAUAGGUCCAUACAGCUCUUCUGUAUUAGUGCUCCUCCUUAUUAGUCUUCUUUGUCCUUUUCCAGGCUGAAGGACUUAUUUCCAAGAACCGUGAGCCCUUCUGUGGUAAACACACCAUUAAUAGUGGUGCUUUUGCACAAUUCUUUGUGGAGCAACUAAUAGAUUAGUCUUCAAAAUCACACAAGUAUUUGAUGACAAAGGCAUUUUAUGAGUCAAGGACGACCCUGUACUACAGACUGCCACUUUUAUGUGUGCUAGGUAUAAUCUUUGGCCCCUUUGGCGAGAAAGCUGAUGUGACCAAAACGGUGAAACAUCUUCAGAAACACCUCAUAAAGCUAAAUAUAAUAAUUGUUUUUUUCACUUAAGGAUGACAAGUCACAUGAUCUUAUCAGCAGGUAAGAUGGCCAACUUGGUUUCACCAAUCACCAAUCUUCUCUGAGGAUAUGUCAAGUUGUUCUGGUUCACGUUUGAGAUUGAAAAUGGACUUUGUGCCGAGAUUAUCGCGUCAACUGUUGAUACUAAACUGUUCUCUAUUCUCUUCUACGAAAGGUCAGGAAACACAAGACGCCUCGUCAAAAAACUCUGGGACCCGACACCUCUGCGAGUUGCCCAACUUUGACCCAUAAAUAGCCGUUUAUAUGGUUCGCUGUUUGAAGAAAAUGUCUGACAAUGGAACCGGCAGAUGAGUGCCCUGAAAGCCAGGAGACAGACAGGAGAGCAAAUAAUUACCUUUCCCAGGUGUGCUUUGCCCUCUCCUUCAAGGAACCAGACACCGAGGACGUGUACCUGUAUCCCCGUCGUCAUCAAGGGAAACCCAAGCAGCUGCUGUUGAAAGGGCAGGUUGACUUCGUGGACUCAUCUCCAGAGAGCGGAGGCCUUCUUCUGUUUGUUUUUCUCAGAAGGGCUUACGUUACCAUCUUAAUUUGUCAUAAAUUGUCGCCAACGAUGUGAUUUAGAGUAUAACACUGACAAGGCUAAGUCCUCACUGCUGUGUAAACUCCCUGCCCCCCCAUCCCCCUCAGAGGUCGUCUUUGUAUGUUUUGCACGGGGCUGAGCUGACAACACAUUUGUCUUUCGUCCUUUUCAAAUCGUUUCGACAAAAUUUUUUUCACCCCCCUAAUUUGUCACCAUACUUGCUCACUGACUUGCUCACUCUCCCCCCCACCCGCUCUCCAUUCACAUGACGAGGGCUAAUGGGGAUCCACUUCAGAUAACUGCUGUUUGACCAGGUCUGUCUCCGACCUGUAAUCGUCUGUUUCAACAAGCGGAGCACCGAGAGCAAACUGGACCGAGGAGGCGAUAUGUGCUCCAAUCACACGGCUGCACACGCGCUCGCAGACCAGACAUGUUUUAUUAUUUUACCUCUUUUCUUAUAUGGCUUUCUGUUAAUCGGCACAUUUUUCCCUGACUGAGAUUUGAUGGUGUCAAAAGGAAUAAGUUAUGUAAAUGCUGAUGGAGUGUUUUUUCAGUUUCUGGGUAAUUCGCUGGUUUCAGCCCCAAUAGUGCUCACUUCAAGAAAAAGAAAAAAGAGGGGGGAAAAGCAUUACAAAAAUAUUAAAUACAAUGCAAACAAAAUAAGUAAUUUAAAUAAUCCUCAUUCAGUUUUAAUAUAAUAUACCAAAUGUAUAUACCAAUAAUUCAUCUCAAAGUGGAGCCUAAUAAUUCCAUUUCACAGGUUAAUUGUGUAUCUCUGUGAGCAGUUCAGGUGGUGGAGUUCAUUCCAUUAACCGAUUGGUUGGUGUUAAAAUCCCUGACUUGGUAUAUGCAAAAUAAAAUCAACUCAGCAUCGACUUUGGUCAGAAAUGUUAAUUACCCCCCCCCCCCCCAAUUUGGUGACAGAAAACUCUAAAUGUAAAAGUCAUUAGUAAUUUGAGGUAUUCCUGCUUUGUGUUGUAAACCAUAGAUUGAUGAUGGAUGGAGGUCUAGAAGUGAAUGGAAGUAUCACACAAGUAUAAAUAGUUGUCCUUCCUCAAAGAAAGAGGCCGGUGGGCUGAUGUUUGUUCUAUACAAAGGUUUACUGUUCCUUUUUAAUGUUUUCACUGUUUCUUUUCUAUAUGAUACAUUUUAUCUAUACAUUUAAAUGUUGAUUAAAAUGUCAUUAUAAAAGCCUAAACUGAGCCCACA